GGACCAUUAGCUCAGCUGGCAGAGCACGCGACUUUUAAUCACGGUGUCCCGCGUUCGAAUCGCGGAUGGUUCACCA
Molecule: transfer RNA, 76 nt
Filed under: Clostridiales bacterium
Lineage: Bacteria; Bacillati; Bacillota; Clostridia; Eubacteriales
Description: tRNA-Lys
Rfam family: tRNA
About the family: Transfer RNA (tRNA) molecules are approximately 80 nucleotides in length. Their secondary structure includes four short double-helical elements and three loops (D, anti-codon, and T loops). Further hydrogen bonds mediate the characteristic L-shaped molecular structure. tRNAs have two regions of fundamental functional importance: the anti-codon, which is responsible for specific mRNA codon recognition, and the 3' end, to which the tRNAs corresponding amino acid is attached (by aminoacyl-tRNA synthetases). tRNAs cope with the degeneracy of the genetic code in two manners: having more than one tRNA (with a specific anti-codon) for a particular amino acid; and 'wobble' base-pairing, i.e. permitting non-standard base-pairing at the 3rd anti-codon position.
Source: RNAcentral